AUCCGGAUUUCCGAAUGGGGAAACCCGGCGGAGCAAUACUCCGUCAUCCUGCGUUGAAUCAAAUAGGCGUAGGAAGGGAACCGCUGAACUGAAACAUCUAAGUAGGGCGAGGAAGAGAAAUCAACCGAGAUUCCGCUAGUAGUGGCGAGCGAACGCGGAAAGGGCAAACCGGAGGAUUUCCGGGGUUGUGGACAAAGCAGCAGUUUAGCGAACGGAUGGGAAGGCCGGCCAAGAGCGGGUGAGAGCCCGUAGGCGAAAGGGAAGCUGUUGAGGGUAUCCAGAGUACCGCGGGACACGUGAAACCCGUGGGAAGCUGGGGGGACCACCCUCCAAGCCUAAAUACUACCUGAUGACCGAUAGAGGAGCAGUACCGUGAGGGAAAGGUGAAAAGGACCCCGGAGGGGAGUGAAAUAGAACCUGAAACCUUGUGCUUACAAGCACUCAAAGCACGUUAAAGGUGAUGAGGUACCUUUUGUAGAAUGGUCCGGCGAGUUAUAGUACUGGCAAGCUUAAGGUAUUCAGUACGGAGCGAGCGAGAGCGAGUCUGAAGGGCGUAAAGUCAGUGCCAUAGACCCGAAACCGGGUGACCUACCAUGGGCAGGUUGAAGUGGAGGGUAAAACUCCAUGGAGGACCGAACCACUCGUUGCAAUGGUGGGGAUGACUGUGGUAGCGGUGAAAUUCCAAUCGAACCCGGAGAUAGCUGGUUCUCCCCGAAAUAGCUUUAGGGCUAGCGUUGAUUUAGAUUCCCGGGGUAAAGCACUGAAUGACUAGGGGGCGAUAAGCUUACUGAACCCUAUCAAACUAAGAAUGCCGGAGAAUUGAUGACGGCAGUCAGACUGUGUGAGAUAAGUUCAUUGUCAAAAAGGGAAACAGCCCAGACCCACAGCUAAGGUCCCAAAUUAUGCUAAGUGGAAAACGAUGUGGAUUGCGAAAACAACCAGGAUGUUGGCUCAGAAGCAGCCACUCAUUCAAAGAGUGCGUAAUAGCUCACUGGUCGAGUGAUUUGCGCGGAAAAUUUAACGGGGCUAAGCAUACACCGAAGCUUGGGAGCAUGUGCGGGGUAGGGGAGCGUUGAAUACGGGGUGAAGUCGAGCGGAAGCGGUGGACUGUAUUCGAAGUGAGAAUGCCGGAAUGAGUAGCGAGAAUUAUGUGAGAAUCAUAAUGGCCGAAAAUCUAAGGUUUCUUGGGGAAGGUUCGUCCGCCCAAGGUAAGCCGGGAGCUAAGGCGAGGCCGAAGGCGUAGUCGAUGCACAUACGGUAGAAAUUCCGUAGCCACCGAACUUUAAACAGGACACUUUCGAAGGGGGACCCGGGCGUUGGUUGACCCGGGCGAAAGGGACCGAAAAUAGUAGGGAAGUAUGCUGAGGGCGAGAAAAGCUGAGGUAUACUAAGGUGCCCGUACCGCAAACCGACACAGGUAGAUGAGGAGAGAAUCCUAAGGCCAACGGGAGAAGGGUUGUUAAGGAACUCGGCAAAAUUGACCCCGUAACUUCGGGAUAAGGGGAGCUCAGGAGAGCCGCAGAGAAUAGGCCCAGCAACUGUUUACCAAAAACACAGGUCUAUGCUAAAUCGAAAGAUGACGUAUAUGGGCUGACGCCUGCCCGGUGCUGGAAGGUUAAGAGGAGGAGCGCAAGCGAAGGUCUGAAUUGAAGCCCCAGUAAACGGCGGCCGUAACUAUAACGGUCCUAAGGUAGCGAAAUUCCUUGUCAGGUAAGUUCUGACCCGCACGAAUGGCGUAAUGAUUUGGGCACUGUCUCAACAGCCCACCCGGCGAAAUUGUAGUACCGGUGAAGAUGCCGGUUACCCGCAACUAGACGGAAAGACCCCAUGGAGCUUUACUGUAGCUUAAUACUGGAAUUCGGUAAUUCAUGUACAGGAUAGGUGGGAGACUGGGAAGCGGGCGUCAGCUUGUGGAGUCACCCUUGGGAUACCACUCUUGAUUGCUGGGUUUCUAACCUGCGGCCUUGAAUCAGGUCGGGGGACACUGUUAGGUGGGCAGUUUGACUGGGGCGGUCGCCUCCUAAAAGAGUAACGGAGGCGCUCAAAGGUUGGCUCAGCACGGACGGAAAUCGUGCAUGAGUGUAAACGCAUAAGCCAGCCUAACUGCGAGACUGACGGGUCGAGCAGUAACGAAAGUUGGAGUUAGUGAUCCGGCGGUAUGUGAGUGGAAAUGCCGUCGCUCAACGGAUAAAAGCUACCCUGGGGAUAACAGGCUGAUCUCCCCCAAGCGUCCACAGCGACGGGGAGGUUUGGCACCUCGAUGUCGGCUCGUCACAUCCUGGGGCUGUAUUCGGUCCCAAGGGUUCGGCUGUUCGCCGAUUAAAGUGGCACGCGAGCUGGGUUCAGAACGUCGUGAGACAGUUCGGUCCCUAUCUGUUGCGGGCGUAAGAGAUUUGAAGGGAGCUGUCCUUAGUACGAGAGGACCGGGAUGGACAUACCGCUGGUGCACCAGUUGUCCUGCCAAGGGCAUGGCUGGGUAGCUACGU
This 2486-nucleotide ribosomal RNA is filed under the name gut metagenome. Its description in RNAcentral is "bacterial LSU rRNA". It matches the Rfam family "Bacterial large subunit ribosomal RNA". The record is from RNAcentral.